CAGACCAUCACGUCGAUAGGAGGCAUGUGGACGGGCAGCAAUGCUCGAAGCUAAGCCUUACUAAUCGCUCGAUCGGCUUGAUCU
This 84-nucleotide ribosomal RNA is filed under the name Azospirillum sp. TSH20. Its description in RNAcentral is "partial 23S ribosomal RNA". The record is from RNAcentral. Lineage: Bacteria; Pseudomonadati; Pseudomonadota; Alphaproteobacteria; Rhodospirillales; Azospirillaceae.